AACAAUUCUUAGCUUGGUUUUGAGCAACGCAGAAAACAAAUUUACAGAUAAGAAGUAUUCACCAACACUAACUAAUAAGACUGGACUUAGAGGACUUCAAGAACAUUUCCUAAUAUGACUUUUUCAGGACGAGAUCAC
RNAcentral lists this long non-coding RNA (138 nucleotides) under Pavo cristatus (Indian peafowl). RNAcentral's name for it is "lncRNA (ENSPSTG00000001893.1)". Lineage: Eukaryota; Metazoa; Chordata; Aves; Galliformes; Phasianidae. The record is from RNAcentral.